RNAcentral lists this ribosomal RNA (301 nucleotides) under uncultured bacterium. RNAcentral's name for it is "partial 16S ribosomal RNA". It matches the Rfam family "Bacterial small subunit ribosomal RNA", at positions 509 to 807 of the family's 1533-position model. The record is from RNAcentral.
CAGUCGCCACGGUAAUACGAAGGGUGCAAGCGUUACUCGGAAUUACUGGGCGUAAAGCGUGCGUAGGUGGUGGUUUAAGUCCGUUGUGAAAGCUCUGGGCUCAACCUGGGAAUUGCAGUGGAUACUGGGUCACUAGAGUGUGGUAGAGGAUAGUGGAAUUUCCGGUGUAGCAGUGAAAUGCGUAGAGAUCGGAAGGAACAUCUGUGGCGAAGGCGACUAUCUGGGCCAACACUGACACUGAGGCACGAAAGCGUGGGGAGCAAACAGGAUUAGAGACCCCUGUAGUCCCUGUCUCUUAUAC